AGAGUUUGAUCCUGGCUCAGGACGAACGCUGGCGGCGCGCCUAACACAUGCAAGUCGAACGAGAGAUGAGGAGCUUGCUCUUCAAAUCGAGUGGCGAACGGGUGAGUAACGCGUGAGGAACCUGCCUCAAAGAGGGGGACAACAGUUGGAAACGACUGCUAAUACCGCAUAAGCCCACGGCUCGGCAUCGAGCAGAGGGAAAAGGAGCAAUCCGCUUUGAGAUGGCCUCGCGUCCGAUUAGCUAGUUGGUGAGGUAACGGCCCACCAAGGCGACGAUCGGUAGCCGGACUGAGAGGUUGAACGGCCACAUUGGGACUGAGACACGGCCCAGACUCCUACGGGAGGCAGCAGUGGGGAAUAUUGCACAAUGGGGGAAACCCUGAUGCAGCGACGCCGCGUGGAGGAAGAAGGUCUUCGGAUUGUAAACUCCUGUUGUUGAGGAAGAUAAUGACGGUACUCAACAAGGAAGUGACGGCUAACUACGUGCCAGCAGCCGCGGUAAAACGUAGGUCACAAGCGUUGUCCGGAAUUACUGGGUGUAAAGGGAGCGCAGGCGGGAGAACAAGUUGGAAGUGAAAUCCAUGGGCUCAACCCAUGAACUGCUUUCAAAACUGUUUUUCUUGAGUAGUGCAGAGGUAGGCGGAAUUCCCGGUGUAGCGGUGGAAUGCGUAGAUAUCGGGAGGAACACCAGUGGCGAAGGCGGCCUACUGGGCACCAACUGACGCUGAGGCUCGAAAGUGUGGGUAGCAAACAGGAUUAGAUACCCUGGUAGUCCACACCGUAAACGAUGAUUACUAGGUGUUGGAGGAUUGACCCCUUCAGUGCCGCAGUUAACACAAUAAGUAAUCCACCUGGGGAGUACGACCGCAAGGUUGAAACUCAAAGGAAUUGACGGGGGCCCGCAC
This 905-nucleotide ribosomal RNA is filed under the name human gut metagenome. Its description in RNAcentral is "bacterial SSU rRNA". It matches the Rfam family "Bacterial small subunit ribosomal RNA", at positions 8 to 926 of the family's 1533-position model. The record is from RNAcentral.